RNAcentral lists this ribosomal RNA (448 nucleotides) under uncultured bacterium. Its description in RNAcentral is "partial 16S ribosomal RNA". It matches the Rfam family "Bacterial small subunit ribosomal RNA", at positions 330 to 795 of the family's 1533-position model. The record is from RNAcentral.
CCCAGACUCCUACGGGAGGCAGCAGUGGGGGAUAUUGCACAAUGGGGGGAACCCUGAUGCAGCGACGCCGCGUGGGUGAAGAAGCGCCUCGGCGCGUAAAGCCCUGUCAGCAGGGAAGAAAAUGACGGUACCUGAAGAAGAAGCCCCGGCUAACUACGUGCCAGCAGCCGCGGUAAUACGUAGGGGGCAAGCGUUAUCCGGAUUUACUGGGUGUAAAGGGGGCGCAGACGGCGAUGCAAGCCAGGAGUGAAAGCCCGGGGCCCAACCCCGGGACUGCUCUUGGAACUGCGUGGCUGGAGUGCAGGAGGGGCAGGCGGAAUUCCUGGUGUAGCGGUGAAAUGCGUAGAUAUCACGCAGAACUCCGAUUGCGAAGGCAGCGCACCGGCGCCCUACUGACGCUCAGGCACGAAAGCGUGGGUAUCGAACAGGAUUAGAUACCCGAGUAAAC